UCAAGUGAAGAAGCGCAUACGGUGGAUGCCUUGGCAGUCAGAGGCGAUGAAAGACGUGGUAGCCUGCGAUAAGCUUUGGGGAGUCGGCAAACAGACUGUGAUCCAGAGAUCUCUGAAUGGGGGAACCCAGCCAGCAUAAGCUGGUUAUCUUGUACUGAAUACAUAGGUGCAAGAGGCGAACCAGGGGAACUGAAACAUCUAAGUACCCUGAGGAAAAGAAAUCAACCGAGAUUCCCUUAGUAGUGGCGAGCGAACGGGGACCAGCCCUUAAGUUGGUUUGAGAUUAGUGGAACGCUCUGGAAAGUGCGGCCAUAGUGGGUGAUAGCCCCGUACACGAAAAUCUCUUAUCAAUGAAAUCGAGUAGGACGGAGCACGAGAAACUUUGUCUGAAUAUGGGGGGACCAUCCUCCAAGGCUAAAUACUACUGACUGACCGAUAGUGAACCAGUACCGUGAGGGAAAGGCGAAAAGAACCCCGGAGAGGGGAGUGAAAUAGAACCUGAAACCGUAUGCGUACAAGCAGUGGGAGCCUACUUUGUUAGGUGACUGCGUACCUUUUGUAUAAUGGGUCAGCGACUUAUAUUCAGUGGCGAGCUUAACCGAAUAGGGGAGGCGUAGCGAAAGCGAGUCUUAAUAGGGCGUUUAGUCGCUGGGUAUAGACCCGAAACCGGGCGAUCUAUCCAUGGGCAGGUUGAAGGUUAGGUAACACUGACUGGAGGACCGAACCGACUACCGUUGAAAAGUUAGCGGAUGACCUGUGGAUCGGAGUGAAAGGCUAAUCAAGCUCGGAGAUAGCUGGUUCUCCUCGAAAGCUAUUUAGGUAGCGCCUCAUGUAUCACUGUAGGGGGUAGAGCACUGUUUCGGCUAGGGGGUCAUCCCGACUUACCAAACCGAUGCAAACUCCGAAUACCUACAAGUGCCGAGCAUGGGAGACACACGGCGGGUGCUAACGUCCGUCGUGAAAAGGGAAACAACCCAGACCGUCAGCUAAGGUCCCAAAGUCAUGGUUAAGUGGGAAACGAUGUGGGAAGGCUUAGACAGCUAGGAGGUUGGCUUAGAAGCAGCCACCCUUUAAAGAAAGCGUAAUAGCUCACUAGUCGAGUCGGCCUGCGCGGAAGAUGUAACGGGGCUCAAACCAUGCACCGAAGCUACGGGUAUCAUCGUAUGAUGAUGCGGUAGAGGAGCGUUCUGUAAGCCUGUGAAGGUGAGUUGAGAAGCUUGCUGGAGGUAUCAGAAGUGCGAAUGCUGACAUGAGUAACGACAAUGCGAGUGAAAAACUCGCACGCCGAAAGACCAAGGUUUCCUGCGCAACGUUAAUCGACGCAGGGUUAGUCGGUCCCUAAGGCGAGGCUGAAAAGCGUAGUCGAUGGAAAACAGGUUAAUAUUCCUGUACUUCCAGUUAUUGCGAUGGAGGGACGGAGAAGGUUAGGCCAGCCUGGCGUUGGUUGUCCAGGUUUAAGGUGGUAGGCUGAAAUCUUAGGCAAAUCCGGGAUUUCAAGGCCGAGAGCUGAUGACGAGUUGCCUUUAGGCGACGAAGUGGUUGAUACCAUGCUUCCAAGAAAAGCUCCUAAGCUUCAGAUAACUGGGAACCGUACCCCAAACCGACACAGGUGGUUAGGUAGAGAAUACCAAGGCGCUUGAGAGAACUCGGGUGAAGGAACUAGGCAAAAUGGCACCGUAACUUCGGGAGAAGGUGCGCCGGCGAGGGUGAAGGACUUGCUCCGUAAGCCCAUGCCGGUCGAAGAUACCAGGCCGCUGCGACUGUUUAUUAAAAACACAGCACUCUGCAAACACGAAAGUGGACGUAUAGGGUGUGACGCCUGCCCGGUGCCGGAAGGUUAAUUGAUGGGGUUAGCGCAAGCGAAGCUCUUGAUCGAAGCCCCGGUAAACGGCGGCCGUAACUAUAACGGUCCUAAGGUAGCGAAAUUCCUUGUCGGGUAAGUUCCGACCUGCACGAAUGGCGUAACGAUGGCGGCGCUGUCUCCACCCGAGACUCAGUGAAAUUGAAAUCGCUGUGAAGAUGCAGUGUAUCCGCGGCUAGACGGAAAGACCCCGUGAACCUUUACUAUAGCUUUGCACUGGACUUUGAAUUUGCUUGUGUAGG
Molecule: ribosomal RNA, 2103 nt
Filed under: Pseudomonas sp. NBRC 111136
Lineage: Bacteria; Pseudomonadati; Pseudomonadota; Gammaproteobacteria; Pseudomonadales; Pseudomonadaceae
Description: bacterial LSU rRNA
Rfam family: Bacterial large subunit ribosomal RNA
Source: RNAcentral